GAGUAACGACGUGAGCUAACCUGCCCUUUUCUCUGGGAUAAGAGCUGGGAAACUGGGUCUAAUACCGGAUACGACCAUCUGGCGCAUGUCAUGGUGGUGGAAAGCUUUUGUGGUUUUGGAUGGACUCGCGGCCUAUCAGCUUGUUGGUGGGGUAAUGGCCUACCAAGGCGACGACGGGUAGCCGGCCUGGAGGGUGACCGGCCACACUGGGACUGAGACACGGACCAGACUCCUACGGGAGGCAGCAGUGGGGAAUAUUGCACAAUGGGCGCAAGCCUGAUGCAGCGACGCCGCGUGAGGGAUGACGGACUUCGGGUACGAUAAACCUCUUUCAGUAGGGAAGAAGCGAAAGUGACGGUACCUGCUGAAGAAGCGCCGGCUAACUACGUGCCAGCUGCCGACGGUAAUACGUA
Molecule: ribosomal RNA, 413 nt
Filed under: marine bacterium SIMO-1582
Lineage: Bacteria; Bacillati; Actinomycetota; Actinomycetes
Description: bacterial SSU rRNA
Rfam family: Bacterial small subunit ribosomal RNA
Source: RNAcentral